RNAcentral lists this non-coding RNA (130 nucleotides) under uncultured Mallomonas. Lineage: Eukaryota; Synurophyceae; Synurales; Mallomonadaceae. The record is from RNAcentral.
AACAAGAGAUGCAUAUUGCCCCUUCUUCUUCCUCUUCCUCUUCUUCUGUUCUUUCUACUACAUCUACUUCUAUCUCUACUUCUAAUAAGAGAGAGAGGGAGAUCUGUGCUGUAUUAAAUGCCAAGGAAGA